UCAAGAAUAUUCCUCAAUGGGCGAAAGCCUGAAGGAGCAAUGCCGCGUGACUGAUGAAGCACUUCGGUGCGUAAAGGUCUUUUUUAAGGGAAGAACAAAUGACGGUACCUUAAGAAUAAGGGGUUGCUAACUCUGUGCCAGCAGCAGCGGUAAUACAGAGACCCCGAGCGUUAUCCGGAUUUAUUGGGCGUAAAGAGUACGUAGACGGUUUCCUAAGUUUGUGGUUAAAUCUUGAAGCUUAACUUCGAUACUGCCAUGAAAACUGAGAAACUAGAGGGUGGAAGAGGUCAACGGAAUUGCCAGUGUAACGGUAAAAUGUGUUAAUAUUGGCAAGAACACCAGAAGCGAAAGCGGUUGACUGGUACACUCCUGACGUUGUUGUACGAAAGCGUGGGUAGCGAAUAGG
Molecule: ribosomal RNA, 406 nt
Filed under: uncultured bacterium
Lineage: Bacteria
Description: bacterial SSU rRNA
Rfam family: Bacterial small subunit ribosomal RNA
Source: RNAcentral